UGUGUUAUUCGUUUAGGAAUUGAUUCACUUUGCUCAGCUAACGAACGACUGAUUCGCCAAAAAGAUAGUAGAGCUCUUGCUGGAAGCUUGCCGAGAAAGUUUGAUUCCCAAUUUAGUGGAGGAUAAAAUGUUUUUUCUCCCACGUUAAAAGUACCUGGCUGCCACAGCACCUAAGUUUUAAGAAAGUAUUACAUCGAAAAUAAAGAUAUGUAUGGCAACCUGUGACAUUCCAACGGGCAUUCUAAAGGUAUGUUGUUUUUUAUAUGUUUUAUGAGUUUGCUGCUGAAUUGAAUUUUAUGUAGUGAACCUGCCAAGAAUGUGAUAUUUAAAAAAAUAAAGUUAACACAAAAGACAAAAAAGUUCUUGUUGCCUAUCUUACUAAGAAAACUGAAUAUUGACAUGAUGAAUAUAACAAAGCCUAAAAAAAUAUAUAAAUGCUAUGGCAACCCUUAACACUACGUCGGUAAUUCUAAAUAUAUGUUGCCAUGCAGCUUUUAACAGUUUUGCGAUUUUAUUGUGGAACUCUAUGUAGCGCAAGUGCGAAGAAAAGAAUGCUUAAUAAUAAAGCUAAAAAGACAAAAGGUAAAAAAGUGGGUUGUUAGAAAUAGGUGCAAAAGUUGUCUGGCAGUCUGCAAGAUGAAGUAGAGCGUAAAAAAGGAAAAAAAAAAAAAAAAAAAAA
Long non-coding RNA from Stegodyphus dumicola, 679 nucleotides. Lineage: Eukaryota; Metazoa; Arthropoda; Arachnida; Araneae; Eresidae. The record is from RefSeq and is a predicted model, not a curated record.